Molecule: transfer RNA, 76 nt
Filed under: Nitrosospira multiformis
Lineage: Bacteria; Pseudomonadati; Pseudomonadota; Betaproteobacteria; Nitrosomonadales; Nitrosomonadaceae
Also listed under: 20 other names
Description: tRNA-Met
Rfam family: tRNA
About the family: Transfer RNA (tRNA) molecules are approximately 80 nucleotides in length. Their secondary structure includes four short double-helical elements and three loops (D, anti-codon, and T loops).
Source: RNAcentral
GGCGAAUUAGCUCAGUGGUUAGAGCAGCGGAAUCAUAAUCCGUUGGUCCCCAGUUCGAAUCUGGGAUUCGCUACCA